CCUACGGGUGGCAGCAGUGAGGAAUAUUGGACAAUGGACGAGAGCCUGAACCAGCCAAGUAGCGUGAAGGAUGACGGCCCUAUGGGUUGUAAACUUCUUUUAUAUGGGAAUAAAAUGUGCCACGUGUGGGAUUUUGUAUGUACCAUAUGAAUACGGAUCGGCUAACUCCGUGCCAGCAGCCGCGGUAAUACGGAGGAUGCGAGUGUUAUCCGGAUUUAUUGGGUUUAAAGGGAGCGUAGGUGGAUUGUUAAGUCAGUUGUGAAAGUUUGCGGCUCAACCGUAAAAUUGCAGUUGAAACUGGCAGUCUUGAGUACAGUAGAGGUGAGCGGAAUUCGUGGUGUAGCGGUGAAAUGCUUAGAUAUCACGAAGAACUCCGAUUGCGAAGGCAGUUCACUGGACUGCAACUGACACUGAGGCUCGAAAGUGUGGGUAUCAAACAGGAUUAGAUACCCCUGUAGUC
RNAcentral lists this ribosomal RNA (460 nucleotides) under uncultured bacterium. Its description in RNAcentral is "partial 16S ribosomal RNA". It matches the Rfam family "Bacterial small subunit ribosomal RNA", at positions 338 to 795 of the family's 1533-position model. The record is from RNAcentral.